GAUGAACGCUGGCGGCGUGCUUAGCACAUGCAAGUCGAACGGAAAGGCCCAAGCUUGCUUGGGUACUCGAGUGGCGAACGGGUGAGUAACACGUGGGUGAUCUGCCCUGCACUUCGGGAUAAGCCUGGGAAACUGGGUCUAAUACUGGAUAGGACCACUUCUUGGAUGUUGUGGUGGAAAGUUUUUUCGGUGUGGGAUGAGCUCGCGGCCUAUCAGCUUGUUGGUGGGGUAAUGGCCUACCAAGGCGUCGACGGGUAGCCGGCCUGAGAGGGUGUACGGCCACAUUGGGACUGAGAUACGGCCCAGACUCCUACGGGAGGCAGCAGUGGGGAAUAUUGCACAAUGGGCGCAAGCCUGAUGCAGCGACGCCGCGUGGGGGAUGACGGCCUUCGGGUUGUAAACUCCUUUCGCUAGGGACGAAGCGUUUUGUGACGGUACCUGGAGAAGAAGCACCGGCUAACUACGUG
RNAcentral lists this ribosomal RNA (467 nucleotides) under uncultured bacterium. RNAcentral describes it as "partial 16S ribosomal RNA". It matches the Rfam family "Bacterial small subunit ribosomal RNA", at positions 28 to 507 of the family's 1533-position model. The record is from RNAcentral.